Molecule: ribosomal RNA, 570 nt
Filed under: Bacteroidetes bacterium oral taxon 281
Lineage: Bacteria; Pseudomonadati; Bacteroidota
Description: bacterial SSU rRNA
Rfam family: Bacterial small subunit ribosomal RNA
Source: RNAcentral
CCUGAUCCAGCCAUGCCGCGUGAAGGAUAAGGUCCUAUGGUGCGUAAACUUCUUUUGACGCAGAGCAAUAAGGGACACGCGUGUUCCGAUGAGAGUAUGCGUCGAAUAAGCAUCGGCUAACUCCGUGCCAGCAGCCGCGGUAAUACGGAGGAUGCGAGCGUUAUCCGGAUUUAUUGGGUUUAAAGGGUGCGUAGGCUGUUGGAUAAGUCAGCGGUGAAAUCACCACGCUUAACGUGUUGUGUGCCGUUGAAACUGUCUGGCUUGAAUGCGCUCGUCGUGAGAGGAAUGUGUGGUGUAGCGGUGAAAUGCAUAGAUAUCACACAGAACACCGAUUGCGAAGGCAUCUCACGAGGGCGCUAUUGACGCUGAUGCACGAAAGCGCGGGUAUCGAACAGGAUUAGAUACCCUGGUGGUCCGCGCUGUAAACGAUGAUGACUAACCGUUGGUCUGGUAUGGAUCAGUGGUCAAGCGAAAGCGUUAAGUCAUCCACCUGGGGAGUACGGCCGCAAGGCUGAAACUCAAGGAAUGACGGGGCCGCACAGCGAGACUGUGUUAUCAGAUCCAGACUAC